AUACUUACCUCGCAAGGGAGACACCGUGAUCAAGAAGGCGGUUCACCCAGGGCGAGGCUGAGCCAUUGCACUCCGACUGUGCUGACACCUGCGAAUUUCCCAAAUGUGGAAAUCUCGAUUGCAUAAUUUCUGGUAGUGGGGGACUGCGUUCGCGCUCUCCCCUG
This 164-nucleotide small nuclear RNA is filed under the name Salmo salar (Atlantic salmon). RNAcentral's name for it is "U1 spliceosomal RNA". It matches the Rfam family "U1 spliceosomal RNA". From Rfam's summary of the family: U1 is a small nuclear RNA (snRNA) component of the spliceosome (involved in pre-mRNA splicing). Its 5' end forms complementary base pairs with the 5' splice junction, thus defining the 5' donor site of an intron. The record is from Rfam by way of RNAcentral. Lineage: Eukaryota; Metazoa; Chordata; Actinopteri; Salmoniformes; Salmonidae.